This 70-nucleotide transfer RNA is filed under the name Capra hircus (goat). It matches the Rfam family "tRNA". From Rfam's summary of the family: Transfer RNA (tRNA) molecules are approximately 80 nucleotides in length. Lineage: Eukaryota; Metazoa; Chordata; Mammalia; Artiodactyla; Bovidae. RNAcentral also lists the same sequence under 1 other name. The record is from Rfam by way of RNAcentral.
UCCAGGUGGUUCAGUGGUAAAGAAUCUGCCUGCCAAGCAGGAGACCUAGGUUCAAUCCCUGGAUCAGGAA